This 301-nucleotide ribosomal RNA is filed under the name uncultured bacterium. RNAcentral's name for it is "partial 16S ribosomal RNA". It matches the Rfam family "Bacterial small subunit ribosomal RNA", at positions 509 to 809 of the family's 1533-position model. The record is from RNAcentral.
CAGUCGCCGCGGGAAUACAGAGGGUGCGAGCGUUAAUCGGAUUUACUGGGCGUAAAGCGUGCGUAGGCGGCUUCUUAAGUCGGAUGUGAAAUCCCUGAGCUUAACUUAGGAAUUGCAUUCGAUACUGGGAAGCUAGAGUAUGGGAGAGGAUGGUAGAAUUCCAGGUGUAGCGGUGAAAUGCGUAGAGAUCUGGAGGAAUACCGAUGGCGAAGGCAGCCAUCUGGCCUAAUACUGACGCUGAGGUACGAAAGCAUGGGGAGCAAACAGGAUUAGAUACCCCUGUAGUCCUGUCUCUUAUACA